This 311-nucleotide unclassified non-coding RNA is filed under the name Hevea brasiliensis (rubber tree). The record is from RNAcentral. Lineage: Eukaryota; Viridiplantae; Streptophyta; Magnoliopsida; Malpighiales; Euphorbiaceae.
AGAGAGCAAAAAACUAGUACACGAACAUGAUCAUGAACUAUAUCAAAAAAAAGCUAUGAUUCAUAAGAAACAACAGCUGAAAACUCUUCCUCCCUCAAAAAUCUUUGUUGUCUUGCAAUGAAAUUCUCAACAGUUUUCUUGAAUUCUUCAUUGCUCAUCUCGUCUUCUGGAUACGAGGUUGUUGUCUUUGUCAUAAUUGGUUUUAUACUGUCAGUGUUUAUAACUUUUCGGGAUCUUAAUGUAGCUGAUCGUGUCAAUUUUUUUCUAGGUUUUUUCUCAUCAAGGGAUAAAGAUAGAGAGUUGUCCGAAUG